AGUGACCAAAGGCGUGUGAAUGGGGUGUGGUGCCUGGCCGGGAGCAGCUCAUGGUGACGUGGACAGCCCCGUUGGGGGCGGCUCCACGGCGCUCCACGGGAACAGACUGACUGACUCGGCUCCGUCAUUACUACAUCUGGUGACCCCGACGUGAUACCCCCUGCUCAUCGGCUGGAACAGCCCCCGGUGCACCGAUAUUCGCUAGAAAAGCUUCAUUUCGUCCGUUGUGGGUCCCUGCCAAGAACGUGCGACCGUGGCACAAUGACGUGGCAUCAAAGCCUCAAAAACCCGAUAUCCAACUUCAAUCUGCCUAACCAAGACCUUUCCAGUGUGCCGAGCCACAAAGACGGCACCAGAGGUUACCUGGGGGCAGGUGAAACGACUAGCGCAGCAGGCUCAGCAAACGCUGGAAAAUAACAAGUCCAAGCCUACCCCCGAGAAUUUUACUGCUGCUAUUUUUGCUUGUUUGAUUGCUAAUUUUUUUACCAUAUUGUUGUGUUGUUUUUGUGUGUUACAGGCUAGGGCCGAACCUGAAUAGCAUAACCGUAUGUGUUAUAAUAUAUGGGCUUAACUUGUGA
Long non-coding RNA from Mauremys reevesii (Reeves's turtle), 578 nucleotides. RefSeq lists it as uncharacterized. The transcript is spliced from 3 exons. NCBI's taxonomy places the organism in Eukaryota, Metazoa, Chordata, Testudines, Geoemydidae. The record is from RefSeq and is a predicted model, not a curated record.